Molecule: ribosomal RNA, 521 nt
Filed under: Annularisca hendersoni
Lineage: Eukaryota; Metazoa; Mollusca; Gastropoda; Littorinimorpha; Pomatiidae
Description: partial 16S ribosomal RNA
Rfam family: Bacterial large subunit ribosomal RNA
Source: RNAcentral
ACAAAAACAUGUCUCUUUGAUUAUAUUAUAUAUGGAGUCUAACCUGCCCAGUGAUUAUAAUUUAACGGCCGCAGUACUUUGACUGUGCGAAGGUAGCAUAAUUAUUUGCCUUAUAAUUGAAGGCUUGUAUGAAUGGUUUGACGAAAAUAAUUCUGUCUUAAUUUAAUUUUUUAGAAUUUAACUUUUAAGUGAAGAGGCUUAAAUUUUAUUGAUAGACAAGAAGACCCUGUCGAGCUUAAAUUUUGAUUAUAAGUAUUAAUAUUUAUAUUAUUUUUUGAUUUUAGUUGGGGUGACUGAGGAAUAAUAUAUAGUUUCCUUAAUUUAUAUAUAAUUUUAUUUUGAUCCAUUAUUUAUGUAAUGAUUAAUAGAAUUAGUUACCGUAGGGAUAACAGCAUAAUCUUUUUUGAGAGUUCAUAUCGAAAAAUUGGUUUGUGACCUCGAUGUUGGAUUAAGGUUUCCUAAAGGUGUAGAGGCUUUUAAGGGUUAGUCUGUUCGACUAUUAAAACUUUACAUGAGCUGAG